Molecule: ribosomal RNA, 468 nt
Filed under: uncultured bacterium
Lineage: Bacteria
Description: partial 16S ribosomal RNA
Rfam family: Bacterial small subunit ribosomal RNA
Source: RNAcentral
GACGAACGCUGGCGGCGUGCUUAACACAUGCAAGUCGAACGGAAAGACCCUGCUUUUGUGGGGUGCUCGAGUCGCGAACGGGUGAGUAACACGUGAGUAACCUGCUCUUGACUUUGGGAUCACUUCAGGAAACUGGGGCUAAUACCGGAUAGGCGCUCCUGCUGCAUGGUGGGGGUUGGAAAGUUUCGGCGGGUGGGGAUGGACUCGCGGCUUAUCAGCUUGUUGGUGGGGUAGUGGCUUACCAAGGCUUUGACGGGUCGCCGGCCUGAGAGGGUGACCGGCCACAUUGGGACUGAGAUACGGCCCAGACUCCUACGGGAGGCAGCAGUGGGGAAUAUUGCACAAUGGGCGGAAGCCUGAUGCAGCAACGCCGCGUGCGGGAUGACGGCCUUCGGGUUGUAAACCGCUUUCGCCUGUGACGAAGCGUGAGUGACGGUAAUGGGUAAAGAAGCACCGGCUAACUACGUG